This 481-nucleotide ribosomal RNA is filed under the name uncultured bacterium. RNAcentral describes it as "partial 16S ribosomal RNA". It matches the Rfam family "Bacterial small subunit ribosomal RNA", at positions 28 to 507 of the family's 1533-position model. The record is from RNAcentral.
GAUGAACGCUGGCGGCGUGCUGAACACAUGCAAGUCGAACGAAGCAUUUAAGACAGAGUACUUCGGUUUGAAGUCUUUUAUGACUGAGUGGCGGACGGGUGAGUAACGCGUGGGUAACCUGCCUCAUACAGGGGGAUAGCAGCUGGAAACGGCUGGUAAUACCGCAUAAGCGCACAGUACCACAUGGUACAGUGUGAAAAACGCCGUUGGUAUGAGAUGGACUCGCGCCUGCUUAGCUUGUUGGCGGGGUAACUGCCCACCAAGGCGACGAUCAGUAGCCGACCUGAGAGGGAGGCCGGCCACAUUGGGACUGAGACACGGCCCAGACUCCUACGGGAGGCAGCAGUGGGGAAUGUUGCACAAUGGAGCAAACUCUGAUGAAGCCACGCCGCGUGACUGAAGAAGUAGUUCUAUAUGUAUACUUCUCUCAGCUGGGAAGAUAGUGACGAUACCUGACUAAGAAGCCCCGGCUAGGUACGUG